CAACGGAAUUAUCAAAUUUUGCAGCAGUUCAUUGGAGCACAUAGAAAGUUCAAUUUUUACAGUGAGGAAUGCUGAUGCCUGCCACUAGAAUGUCUUACAAGUGAACUUGAAUGUUGUGCACCUUAUUGAUGUAGUGUGUUUUGGAGGUCAAAUAAUAUCCUUCCAUGUGGUCAAGAUUUGACUGAAAAACAUGCUUAAAGAAACAUUUGGGCAGUAUGAAUAAUUCUGAAA
Molecule: long non-coding RNA, 231 nt
Organism: Ipomoea nil (Japanese morning glory)
Lineage: Eukaryota; Viridiplantae; Streptophyta; Magnoliopsida; Solanales; Convolvulaceae
Exons: 2
Source: RefSeq, a predicted model, not a curated record